RNAcentral lists this long non-coding RNA (2210 nucleotides) under Homo sapiens (human). Its description in RNAcentral is "HSALNT0135214". Lineage: Eukaryota; Metazoa; Chordata; Mammalia; Primates; Hominidae. The record is from RNAcentral.
GUUCUGCAUGUCACAGAGGAAGUAGGCAUAUUUGAGGAAGACUUUCUCAAGGAUUUUUUUCAGAAGUUACACGGAAUAUGUCUGCCUCUCCUGUCUCACCUCCUUCACCUCUUCCACCUCUGCCACCCUGAGACAGCAAGAAAAACUCCACCCUUUUUUCCUCUUCCUGAGCCUAUCAACAUGAGGACAAUGGGAAUGAAGAUUUUAUGAUGAUCCACACCCACUAAGUGAAUAGGUCUCACCACUGCAGCCAUCAUCAAAAGUGGUUAUUACCAAGACUAGAUUGCAGCUCCGGACAGAGCAGCUGGCAGGGACUCAUAUUGUGAAUUGCAGCUCCAGCUCGACUGCAAGAACAAACCAGCAAUCCCGAGAGGACCCACAGACCCUCUAAAGGAAGUGGACUGCUCCUGCAGGACCUGGGAGACACCCCAAAUAUUAUCUAUAAACUCAAUUUUAGGAAGUCAAGUAUCUUCCCGAAAGUCACACAAGUAAAGAUGGACUUGGGUCUCUAAUCCAUUUGUUUGACUUCAAAACAUGUUAUCUCCAUUCCACUACCUCUUCUGUUCAGUGGAAUGAAAGAGGUUAAAACAGUUCACAGGGUCCAUGGAGUGAAUGAAAAAUGAAAAUGGGAAGAUAAAAUACAGAUUAUAGUUUUCAAGGAUUGGAGCUGGAAGGAGUUGCCUGUUUGAGAGCUGUGUUAAGGUCUGAGAAACAUGUGCAUGUUGUGCACUGCAAGAAAGGAAUCAAGAGGAAGGAGAGGAUGGAGAUAUAGAAGAUGAAAAUCAGCCAGAGUAACAAGGCUCCAGGAAAGCCACAUGGCUAUGUGCAUCCCUUAGAGAAACAAAUUGGAAAAAGGGAUGAGAAAACUGCUGCUCAGAACGUUAAAGGGACUUAUCCAAACUCAUGAGAUAAGUAAAAGGCAGAACAAAGUUUUAAAUCAGCUCUCACUGGUCCUAAAGCCUGUACUUAUUCCACAGUACUAUUGGAAAACAGAGGAGUGCCAAACAAGUGACUCACCUAAAUCAAUGCUGAAGACACACAGAAUAUUGAAGGAUCAACUCUACUUCUUCGAAAUAUACUUUAAUACUUUCACUGCCAAACCAGAGUUCAAGAAAUAACUGCGGUGGAAUGAUAAUGAGAAGUUUAACAGUUUUAUGAUGGUUGAAGCUGACUUUAUGAAAGUUGAUAAAUUUCAUCUUGUAGGUUUCAAUUUCUCAUUCCCUACCGAGAGAUGGGGAGAAUACAUUGACACUGCAUUUCAAAUUGGCUAGAUCAGAAGGAACAGCAGCUAAAAUCCAUUACAACCCAAUUACAUCCAUCAGCUGAAGCUGUGUGCAUUCACUUGUGAACAUCAGCAUUUAAUCCAUAAAGAGGAACUAAUGAGAAAUUUGAAAAUGGAAUCCACGCAUCAGUAAGUUUAGAGAGAUUUUUCUGGGAUUAAUGAUCUGCCAGAGCAUCUUCAGCAUUCUGGAAAGCUAUUCUCUCUGGGUUUGUUUACUGACCAAGAGAAAAAAAAAGGGGGUUUCCUUCUGUCUGCUCAUCAAAUAUUUGAAAGACUACUCAUUUCAGUCCUUGAAAAUGGGAUACCGUGAGCUUUGGAAGUAAGGUACGUGUUGGUGAACACUGUUGUCAUUGAACAGGAAAAAUUAAAUUAUUAGGUGAGAAGUUUCCACCUAGAGAUUAGUAACAAGUAGCCUGAACAAAUUAUUUUACCUGUAUAGAUGCUAAGACAGAUGUGUUCUUUUAAUUUAAGACCUGAGAGCAUGUUUAGAGUUGCACGUAAUGGCAAUAAUUCUAUGUUGUAGAAAUAGAGAAAUAGUUUUUAUUUUUCACUUUUGGUGAUUGCAUGGAUAGAAAUAAAUAUUCCUCUUGUCGAAUUGCAAUUGCUUAAAGAGUAACAAGGAAGCUUAGAGAGAGUAGAGUAUAAACUUGUUAACAAUUGCAUAACUUCACAUGUACAAUUUCUGAGUUAAUAAACAUAUAGUUUGUGAAAAGUUAACACUGGAUGAAGCUUUAGAAUGCUGUGCAAUUUCUUCUCAUCUGGUGAAAACGGUUUCUGUAAGCAUACAAUUUAGGGAUGUUACUAUAUCCGAGGUCUGGCAAAUGUAGUCAUCAGAUUAAAUAAAUGUAUAUGUGGACUGUGGGGGAUUGGAUCCCCAUGUUUGGAAAGUAAUUUGGUUCAAUUUGUUGCUCUUUGGAGAGAAGGUAAG